RNAcentral lists this ribosomal RNA (253 nucleotides) under uncultured bacterium. RNAcentral describes it as "partial 16S ribosomal RNA". It matches the Rfam family "Bacterial small subunit ribosomal RNA", at positions 524 to 776 of the family's 1533-position model. The record is from RNAcentral.
UACGAAGGGGGCUAGCGUUGCUCGGAAUUACUGGGCGUAAAGGGCGCGUAGGCGGCACUGUUAGUCAGGCGUGAAAGUCCUGGGCUCAACCUGGGAACUGCGCUUGAUACGGCAGAGCUAGAGGAUGGAAGAGGCUCGCGGAAUUCCCAGUGUAGAGGUGAAAUGCGCAGAUAUCGGGAGGAACACCAAUGGCGAAGGCAGCUCGCUGGGACGGUACUGACGCUGAGACGCGAAAGCGUGGGGAGCAAACAGG